This 200-nucleotide ribosomal RNA is filed under the name uncultured bacterium. RNAcentral's name for it is "partial 16S ribosomal RNA". It matches the Rfam family "Bacterial small subunit ribosomal RNA", at positions 524 to 723 of the family's 1533-position model. The record is from RNAcentral.
UACGUAGGGUGCGAGCGUUGUCCGGAAUUAUUGGGCGUAAAGGGCUCGUAGGCGGUUUGUCGCGUCGGGAGUGAAAUCCAUUGGCUUAACUGGUGGCUUGCUUUCGAUACGGGCAGACUGGAGGUAUGCAGGGGAGAACGGAAUUCCUGGUGUAGCGGUGAAAUGCGCAGAUAUCGGGAGGAACACCGGUGGCGAAGGCG